This 646-nucleotide ribosomal RNA is filed under the name uncultured bacterium. RNAcentral describes it as "bacterial SSU rRNA". It matches the Rfam family "Bacterial small subunit ribosomal RNA", at positions 78 to 740 of the family's 1533-position model. The record is from RNAcentral.
GCUUGCUCUAUGUACCUUAGCAGCGAACGGGUGAGUAACACGUAGAUAAUCUGUCCUAUAUUGGGGGAUAGCCCGAUGAAAGUUGGAUUAAUACCGCAUACAGCUAUAUAGUUGCAUGAUUAUAUAGUGAAAGAUUUAUUGAUAUAGGAGGAGUCUGCGGCACAUUAGCUAGUAGGUGAGGUAAGAGCUUACCUAGGCGACGAUGUGUAGCCGGUCUGAGAGGAUGAACGGCCACAAUGGAACUGAGACACGGUCCAUACUCCUACGGGAGGCAGCAGUGGGGAAUAUUGCACAAUGGGGGAAACCCUGAUGCAGCAACGCCGCGUGAGUGAAGAAGGUUUUCGGAUUGUAAAGCUCUGUUAGCAGGGAAGAGGAAGGACGGUACCUGCAGAGGAAGCCACGGCUAACUACGUGCCAGCAGCCGCGGUAAUACGUAGGUGGCAAGCGUUGUUCGGAAUAACUGGGCGUAAAGGAUGCGUAGGCGGUUAAAUAAGUUAUAUGUUAAAUAUAUAGGCUUAACCUGUAGAAAGCAUAUAAAACUGUUUAACUAGAGUGCAGGAGAGGUAAGUGGAAUUCCUAGUGUAGCGGUGAAAUGCGUAGAGAUUAGGAAGAACACCAGUGGCGAAGGCGACUUACUGGACUGUAC